Molecule: ribosomal RNA, 301 nt
Filed under: uncultured bacterium
Lineage: Bacteria
Description: partial 16S ribosomal RNA
Rfam family: Bacterial small subunit ribosomal RNA
Source: RNAcentral
CAGCAGCCACGGUAAUACCGAGGGUGCGAGCGUUAAUCGGAUUUACUGGGCGUAAAGCGUGCGUAGGCGGCUUUUUAAGUCGGAUGUGAAAUCCCUGUGCUUAACUUAGGAAUUGCAUUCGAUACUGGGAAGCUAGAGUAUGGGAGAGGAUGGUAGAAUUCCAGGUGUAGCGGUGAAAUGCGUAGAGAUCUGGAGGAAUACCGAUGGCGAAGGCAGCCAUCUGGCCUAAUACUGACGCUGAGGUACGAAAGCAUGGGGAGCAAACAGGAUUAGAUACCCGAGUAGUCCCUGUCUCUUAUAC